GACGUAGGGGGCCAACGUUGUUCGGAAUUACUGGGUGUAAAGGGUUCGUAGGCGGUGCGGCAAGUCGGGAGUGAAAUCUCUGGGCUUAACCCAGAGGCUGCUUCCGAAACUGCUGUGCUUGAGGACUGGAGAGGAGACUGGAAUUUAUGGUGUAGCGGUGAAAUGCGCAGAUAUCAGGAAGAACACCCGUGGCGAAGGCGGCUCUCUGGGACGGUACUGACGCUGAGACGCGAAAGCGUGGGGAGCGAACAGG
RNAcentral lists this ribosomal RNA (253 nucleotides) under uncultured bacterium. Its description in RNAcentral is "partial 16S ribosomal RNA". It matches the Rfam family "Bacterial small subunit ribosomal RNA", at positions 524 to 776 of the family's 1533-position model. The record is from RNAcentral.